This 266-nucleotide ribosomal RNA is filed under the name uncultured Staphylococcus sp. RNAcentral describes it as "partial 16S ribosomal RNA". It matches the Rfam family "Bacterial small subunit ribosomal RNA", at positions 96 to 355 of the family's 1533-position model. The record is from RNAcentral. Lineage: Bacteria; Bacillati; Bacillota; Bacilli; Caryophanales; Staphylococcaceae.
CGGCGGACGAGUGAGUAACACGUGGGUAACCUACCUAUAAGACUGGGACAACUUCGGGAAACCGGAGCUAAUACCGGAUAAGAUAUCGAACCGCAUGGUUCGAUAGUGAAAGAUGGUUUUGCUAUCACUUAUAGAUGGACCCGCGCCGUAUUAGCUAGUUGGUGAGGUAACGGCUCACCAAGGCAACGAUACGUAGCCGACCUGAGAGGGUGAUCGGCCACACUGGAACUGAGACACGGUCCAGACUCCUACGGGAGGCAGCAGCA